This 447-nucleotide ribosomal RNA is filed under the name uncultured bacterium. RNAcentral describes it as "bacterial SSU rRNA". It matches the Rfam family "Bacterial small subunit ribosomal RNA", at positions 329 to 792 of the family's 1533-position model. The record is from RNAcentral.
AGCCAGACUCCUACGGGAGGCAGCAGUGGGGAAUAUUGCACAAUGGGGGAAACCCUGGUGCAGCGACGCCGCGUGAGUGAAGAAGUAUUUCGGUAUGUAAAGCUCUAUCAGCAGGGAAGAAAAUGACGGUACCUGACUAAGAAGCCCCGGCUAACUACGUGCCAGCAGCCGCGGUAAUACGUAGGGGGCAAGCGUUAUCCGGAUUUACUGGGUGUAAAGGGAGCGUAGACGGCAUGGCAAGUCAGAUGUGAAAGCCCGGGGCUCAACCCCGGGACUGCAUUUGAAACUGUCAGGCUGGAGUGCAGGAGAGGUAAGUGGAAUUCCUAGUGUAGCGGUGAAAUGCGUAGAUAUUAGGAGGAACACCAGUGGCGAAGGCGGCUUACUGGACUGUAACUGACGUUGAGGCUCGAAAGCGUGGGGAGCAAACAGGAUUAGAUACCCCAGUCA